RNAcentral lists this ribosomal RNA (261 nucleotides) under uncultured archaeon. Its description in RNAcentral is "partial 16S ribosomal RNA". It matches the Rfam family "Archaeal small subunit ribosomal RNA", at positions 748 to 1009 of the family's 1478-position model. The record is from RNAcentral.
CAGCCGUAAACGAUGCGCGUUAGGUGUAUCGACGACCACGAGUCGUCGAGGUGCCGAAGGGAAACCGUGAAACGUGCCGCCUGGGAAGUACGGUCGCAAGGCUGAAACUUAAAGGAAUUGGCGGGGGAGCACCACAACAGGUGGAGCCUGCGGUUUAAUUGGACUCAACGCCGGACAACUCACCGGGAACGACAGCAAUAUGUAGGCCAGGCUGAAGACCUUGCCUGAAUCGCUGAGAGGAGGUGCAUGGCGUAGACGUCU